This 1277-nucleotide long non-coding RNA is filed under the name Homo sapiens (human). RNAcentral's name for it is "long non-coding RNA NONHSAT160415.1". The record is from RNAcentral. Lineage: Eukaryota; Metazoa; Chordata; Mammalia; Primates; Hominidae.
CCUGGAUGAAUUCUGGCCCUUCAGAGAGUCGGCCCUACCACGGCAUGCAUGGAGGUGGUCCUGGUGGGCCCGGAGGUGGCCCCCACAGCUUCCCACACCCAUUACCCAGCCUGACAGGUGGGCAUGGUGGACAUCCCAUGCAGCACAACCCCAAUGGACCCCCACCCCCUUGGAUGCAGCCACCACCACCACCGAUGAACCAGGGCCCCCACCCUCCUGGGCACCAUGGCCCUCCUCCAAUGGAUCAGUACCUGGGAAGUACGCCUGUGGGCUCUGGGGUCUAUCGCCUGCAUCAAGGAAAAGGUAUGAUGCCGCCACCACCUAUGGGCAUGAUGCCGCCGCCGCCGCCGCCUCCCAGUGGGCAGCCCCCACCCCCUCCCUCUGGUCCUCUUCCCCCAUGGCAACAACAGCAGCAGCAGCCUCCGCCACCCCCUCCGCCCAGCAGCAGUAUGGCUUCCAGUACCCCCUUGCCAUGGCAGCAAAGAUCCCUCCCCGCGGCGGCGAUGGCCCGAGCCAUGAGAGUGAGGACUUUCCGCGCCCAUUGGUGACCCUUCCAGGCAGACAGCCUCAGCAACGCCCCUGGUGGACAGGAUGGUUCGGCAAAGCAGCCUGAGUUAUUUUUGUGGACGGAAUCGGAACACGCUGGCUCCAUAUCGUGAAAUUUUUAUUAAUUUUUUUCUUUUUCCUUUGUUACUUCUUUAUCUUUUCCUUUCUUCAGACUCCGUCCAAGGAGAUGCUCUCCCCGGUCUUCUGCUGCAAUUUAGAUUCCUUUCCCUUCUCUCCAGUUCUCCUUCCCUUACCAAGGAGAGGGGAGCAAAUGGUUUUGGGCAAGGGCUUUGGCCAUUCAUGUCAAGCUGGUUGUGGGUUUUUCAAGGUGCCAUAGCCACCCCCAAAGAUGUUUGUUUAAAGCGUGGGGUUUUUUAAUCUCUGCCACCCUUGUCAAGGGAGUCUUGUAAAGUUGCCGAGGGUAGGUUCAUCUCCAGGUUUCGGGAUUCCCAUCCGUCCUGGCGAUCCUGCCAGCAGUGGGUGGGCAGCCUGAGCUCCCUCGGGCUCGCCUGCCAGCCUGGAGUUCUUCCUGUGCUCCUUGAUCACCUGAGCUGCCUCAGAUUCCAUUUGGUCCUCUCCUUCCUGGAAGGCUUCCUUUUAUGUUUUGUUUUAAUCCCAAAUGUCUGAAUGUUUUGCAGUGUGUAGGGGUUUGAGCCCCUUGUUCAUUCUCCUUCCUUUUUCCUCCCGCUUCCCUCUCCAUGAAGUGAUUCUGUUGACAAUAAUGUAUACUG